UGGAUGCUUACCCACACAGAGCACCAUGGAUACAUGAGACCACCGCAACUGCCACCUGCGCCUCCGUCCACUGCGGAUCCCCACCACUAUCUCCACCACCAGCCAAGACCACCCGUCCCUCCGCAAGCCACAUGGUACUCCAACCAAUUCUAGUACCACCUAUCACCACCAUCUUCGCACUCUCCAUCUCGUCCACCUCCUCGGCAGUGGGUGGCUUCUCCGAACUCCAACCUUAUCCCUCCUCUUCCUAUCCUCCCC
This 258-nucleotide unclassified non-coding RNA is filed under the name Hevea brasiliensis (rubber tree). Lineage: Eukaryota; Viridiplantae; Streptophyta; Magnoliopsida; Malpighiales; Euphorbiaceae. The record is from RNAcentral.